GGGAAUGCACCCUUCGGUUCGGAAUAACUCAGGGAAACUUGAGCUAAUACCGGAUACGCCCUUUUGGGGAAAGGUUUACUGCCGAAGGAUCGGCCCGCGUCUGAUUAGCUUGUUGGUGGGGUAACGGCCUACCAAGGCGACGAUCAGUAGCUGGUCUGAGAGGAUGAUCAGCCACACUGGGACUGAGACACGGCCCAGACUCCUACGGGAGGCAGCAGUGGGGAAUAUUGGACAAUGGGCGCAAGCCUGAUCCAGCCAUGCCGCGUGAGUGAUGAAGGCCUUAGGGUUGUAAAGCUCUUUUGUCCGGGACGAUAAUGACGGUACCGGAAGAAUAAGCCCCGGCUAACUUCGUGCCAGCAGCCGCGGUAAUACGAAGGGGGCUAGCGUUGCUCGGAAUCACUGGGCGUAAAGGGCGCGUAGGCGGCCGAUUAAGUCGGGGGUGAAAGCCUGUGGCUCAACCACAGAAUUGCCUUCGAUACUGGUUGGCUUGAGACCGGAAGAGGACAGCGGAACUGCGAGU
RNAcentral lists this ribosomal RNA (520 nucleotides) under Methylobacterium sp. MM88. RNAcentral describes it as "bacterial SSU rRNA". It matches the Rfam family "Bacterial small subunit ribosomal RNA", at positions 120 to 674 of the family's 1533-position model. Lineage: Bacteria; Pseudomonadati; Pseudomonadota; Alphaproteobacteria; Hyphomicrobiales; Methylobacteriaceae. The record is from RNAcentral.